CACAGAGACAGGACUGAUUAAUAUAACUUCACAAUUUCCCCAGCCAUGUGAUCUUCUAUUUACAAUGACCAUGUGCAUGAGGUCUGAUAAACAGGCUCAGAGACAGUUUCUACUAAAUCAAAUCAAAGUUUAUUGGUCACGUACACAGAUUUGUAGACGUUAUAGCAGGUGCAGCGAAACACUUGUGUUUCUAGCUCCAACAGCACAGUAAUACCUAGCAAUAAAAACGAAAACAAAACAAUCCAGAAUUGUUUUUAUAUUAAGUUAUAUAGUAUGAGCCAUGACUAGAAUACAGUAUACAUCAAUUGGGUGAAACAGUACUAGCCGGGCCUCCUGAGUGACACAGUGGUCUAAGGCACUACAGACCUGGGUUCAAUCCCAGGCUGUGUCGCAGCCGGCAGACUUAUGAGGCGGCGCACAAUUGGCCCUGAGUCGUCUGUGUUAGGGGAGGGUUUGGCUGGCCGGGAUGUCCUCCUCCCAUCGCACUCUAGCGACUCCUUGUGGCUGGCCCGGGCGCAUGCACACUGACUUCGGUCACCAAAUGUACAGUGUUUCCUCCGGCACAUUUAGCGCGGAUGGCUUCUGGGUUAAGCGAGCAGUGUCUCAAGAACCAGUGCGGCUUGGCGGGGUCGUGUUUCAGAGGAUGCAUGGCUAUCUACCUUCGGCUCUCCUGAGUCUGGGAGUUGCAGCGAUGGGACAAGACUGUAACUAACAAUUGGAUAUCACGAAAUUGGGGAAAAAAGGGACAAAAGUACAAAAAAUCAACUACUACAAGCUAUCUGACUAGUGAACAAGAUAACUGAACCAACCACCUGCUCUGAUUCUCUGCACCUAAUCGCACAUGCAUUCUCUCACGCACGCACCCGCACAGACAUGCACACAUCCAUGCUACACACACUACAACUGCUGCUACCAGACUCAUUAUUAUUGCUAAAUACCACACAAUUUAAACAUUUUCCCCCAAUCCCCCUUCCCCAAAACAUGUGUAAAUAUUGGACUAUAAAUUGUGCCCAUCUGUAUUGUACUUACGCUAAAAUGUGUAUUCUAUUCUACUGAGCCAUUUACUUUAUGUUCGUAUUCUUAUAUUUUCUUUUUGUUGUUGCAUUAUCGAGAAGGAAGCUGCAAGUAAGCAUUUCGUUGGACAGUGUAUUCCAAGUGUAGACCGGGCAUACAGCUGAUAAACCUGCCAUGGGUGAAUAAAGAGUGCUAGCCUAAUCUCGGUUAAGCCAGAACUAAAAGCUUGCAUAAUUUGGUCAGAUGCUCAACCAUUGAUGUUUACAUAAUAUGUCCACGAGAGCUUAAGCCUAGCCUGUAAUUCCCAAGAGUUACUGCAGAAGUCACCCUAAAAAUACACCGGUGUACCUAUAAUUCUCUCAUCAUCUUAGCUCGUAACUCACCCCAAGGCAGGUAAAUGAGGUGAGCAACUGUUCCCAUGUAAAAAAAAUGUUUUUAAAGUGUACAUUAAACUUUACCUCAAGAGCUGCAACAUCCCAUAUCUAGUGGCCAGGUCCCAUGGGGUGAGGGACACAAACACAUCCCAUAUCUAGUGGCCAGGUCCCAUGGGGUGAGGGACACAAACACAUCCCAUAUCUAGUGGCCAGGUCCCAUGGGGUGAGGGACACAAACACAUCCCAUAUCUAGUGGCCAGGUCCCAUGGGGUGAGGGACACAAACACAUCCCAUAUCUAGUGGCCAGGUCCCAUGGGGUGAGGGACACAAACACAUCCCAUAUCUAGUGGCCAGGUCCCAUGGGGUUAGGGACACAAACACAUCCCAUAUCUAGUGGCCAGGUCCCAUGGGGUUAGGGACACAAACACAUCCCAUAUCUAGUGGCCAGGUCCCAUGGGGUGAGGGACACAAACACAUCCCAUAUCUAGUGGCCAGGUCCCAUGGGGUGAGGGACACAAACACAUCCCAUAUCUAGUGGCCAGGUCCCAUGGGGUUAGGGACACAAA
Long non-coding RNA from Oncorhynchus keta (chum salmon), 1954 nucleotides. RefSeq lists it as uncharacterized. The record is from RefSeq and is a predicted model, not a curated record. The transcript is spliced from 2 exons. NCBI's taxonomy places the organism in Eukaryota, Metazoa, Chordata, Actinopteri, Salmoniformes, Salmonidae.